CAGGGCUCAGCAGUUCGUUUGUUUGAUUUUUCUACAGUGCGAACUUUCACAGCUUCCAACCACGUAUCUCUCCCUUUGCUGAGGUCUGUUCUUGAUGAGGUUUUUACUAUAUCUGUGCUAAGGAGCUGCAGAGACACAUUGUCAAGAGACCAACUGUUUGAGAAUGAAAGGCUUUACCAAGUCAUUUUUAUAAUAUUAGAACUUUUUAGACAGUCAGGCUUAUCGUUCUGUGUGGAGCUAUAUGUGCUGGGGGUUGUGAAAUACCUGUCUGCAGAGAGCAAGGGGCGUCUUUCUCCACUCAGCAGCUUGGCUCAGAUUAGCUUCUCUUGAAGACUGGUGGGAAGUAUCAGUGUAAAGGUAUUUUCAGUGGCCUGGUUCUUUUCUCAAGUCCUUAGCACGCGGAGCAUUUUAAAGCCAGUUGGCCUGAUAUGAAGCCCUGUAUGUAUUACACUCAGACAUGCUUGCCCAUAAAGGCAGGUUGGUCUUCCAGAGCCUAACAACUCUGAAGGGUUGAAUAGUUUUGUGGUGAAAGUCUUUAAAUUUGACGUCAUAACUAAAAGUAGCUGAAAGUUGGAACUCUUCACAUUGCUGCCCUAAGAUAUUUUAUUCACCUUGAGCUUACAGCUUCUGACUAAUGUAUUGUAUCAGGCUUGGUUAUUCUUUGUAUUUUGUUUCUUUGUCUGCAAAGCAGAAAGGAUGUGGCCCUAGAUAUGUCCAUGCUUGAAUGUAUACUUUUAUAAGUAAAAACUGUAUGCAUUUGGCUGUAUUUCAUUAUUCUUUAAAUAAAAGUUGUGCCAUAACUUA
This is a long non-coding RNA of Dromaius novaehollandiae (emu), 804 nucleotides long. RefSeq lists it as uncharacterized. The transcript has 2 exons. Lineage: Eukaryota; Metazoa; Chordata; Aves; Casuariiformes; Dromaiidae. The record is from RefSeq and is a predicted model, not a curated record.